GACGAACGCUGGCGGCGUGCCUAAUACAUGCAAGUAGAACGCACAGUUUAUACCGUAGCUUGCUACACCAUACACUGUGAGUUGCGAACGGGUGAGUAACGCGUAGGUAACCUGCCUGGUAGCGGGGGAUAACUAUUGGAAACGAUAGCUAAUACCGCAUAAUAUUAAUUAUUGCAUGAUAAUUGAUUGAAAGAUGCAAUUGCAUCCCUACCAGCUGGACCUGCGUUGUAUUAGCUAGUAGGUGAGGUAACGGCGCACCUAGGCGACGAUACAUAGCCGACCUGAGAGGGUGAUCGGCCACACUGGGACUGAGACACGGCCCAGACUCCUAAGGGAGGCAGCAGUAGGGAAUCUUCGGCAAUAGACGAAAGUCUGACCGAGCAAGGCCGCGUGAGUGAAGAAGGUUUUCGGAUCGUAAAGCUCUGUUGUAAGAGAAGAACGGGCGUGAGAGUGGAAAGUUCACACUGUGACGGUAUCUUACCAGAAAGGGACGGCUAACUACGUG
This 505-nucleotide ribosomal RNA is filed under the name uncultured bacterium. RNAcentral describes it as "partial 16S ribosomal RNA". It matches the Rfam family "Bacterial small subunit ribosomal RNA", at positions 28 to 507 of the family's 1533-position model. The record is from RNAcentral.